GCUUUGAUAGCUCAGUUGGGAGAGCAUUGCACCUGUAUUGCAAAGGUCGUGGGUUCAAAUCCUGUUCAAAGCC
Non-coding RNA from Orbicella faveolata, 73 nucleotides. Lineage: Eukaryota; Metazoa; Cnidaria; Anthozoa; Scleractinia; Merulinidae. The record is from the annotation of a RefSeq genome assembly.